RNAcentral lists this ribosomal RNA (492 nucleotides) under uncultured bacterium. Its description in RNAcentral is "partial 16S ribosomal RNA". It matches the Rfam family "Bacterial small subunit ribosomal RNA", at positions 29 to 507 of the family's 1533-position model. The record is from RNAcentral.
AGUGAACGCUGGCGGUAGGCCUAACACAUGCAAGUCGAACGGCAGCACAGUAAGAGCUUGCUCUUACGGGUGGCGAGUGGCGGACGGGUGAGGAAUACAUCGGAAUCUACUUUUUCGUGGGGGAUAACGUAGGGAAACUUACGCUAAUACCGCAUACGACCUACGGGUGAAAGCAGGGGAUCUUCGGACCUUGCGCGAUUGAAUGAGCCGAUGUCGGAUUAGCUAGUUGGCGGGGUAAAGGCCCACCAAGGCGACGAUCCGUAGCUGGUCUGAGAGGAUGAUCAGCCACACUGGAACUGAGACACGGUCCAGACUCCUACGGGAGGCAGCAGUGGGGAAUAUUGGACAAAGGGCGCAAGCCUGAUCCAGCCAUACCGCGUGGGUGAAGAAGGCCUUCGGGUUGUAAAGCCCUUUUGUUGGGAAGGAAAAGCAGCAGGUUAAUACCCCGCUGUUCUGACGGUACCCAAAGAAUAAGCACCGGCUAACUUCGUG